Molecule: ribosomal RNA, 482 nt
Filed under: uncultured bacterium
Lineage: Bacteria
Description: partial 16S ribosomal RNA
Rfam family: Bacterial small subunit ribosomal RNA
Source: RNAcentral
GACGAACGCUGGCGGCGUGCCUAACACAUGCAAGUCGAACGGAACUGUUUUGAAAGAUUUCUUCGGAAUGUAUUUGAUUUCGUUUAGUGGCGGACGGGUGAGUAACGCGUGAGUAACCUGCCUUCAAGAGGGGAAUAACAUUCUGAAAAGAAUGCUAAUACCGCCUGACAUAUCGGAACCACAUGGUUUUGAUAUCAAAGCUUUUAUCGCUUGUAGAUGGACUGGCGUCCGAUUAGUUAGUUGGUGAGGUAAAGGCGCACCAAGACCGCGAUCGGUAGCCGGACUGAGGAGACGAGCGGCCGCAUUGUGACUGAGGCACCAGUCGGGCACCUACGGGAAGGAGCAGAAGGGGAUAGGGCGCAAGGCGCGCAACCGAGGCGCAGCUUCGGCUCGUGAAGCUCUAUUGUUUGCGAAGAAUAAACGUCUAAGAUUAAGGGCGAAAAAUGACGGUACUUAAUGAAAAAGCCCCGGCUAACUACGUG